This 484-nucleotide ribosomal RNA is filed under the name uncultured bacterium. RNAcentral describes it as "partial 16S ribosomal RNA". It matches the Rfam family "Bacterial small subunit ribosomal RNA", at positions 30 to 507 of the family's 1533-position model. The record is from RNAcentral.
AUUGAACGCUGGCGGCAGGCCUAACACAUGCAAGUCGAGCGGAUGAAGGGAGCUUGCUCCUGGAUUCAGCGGCGGACGGGUGAGUAAUGCCUAGGAAUCUGCCUGGUAGUGGGGGAUAACGUCCGGAAACGGGCGCUAAUACCGCAUACGUCCGGAGGGAGAAAGUGGGGGAUCUUCGGACCUCACGCUAUCAGAUGAGCCUAGGUCGGAUUAGCUAGUUGGUGGGGUAAAGGCCUACCAAGGCGACGAUCCGUAACUGGUCUGAGAGGAUGAUCAGUCACACUGGAACUGAGACACGGUCCAGACUCCUACGGGAGGCAGCAGUGGGGAAUAUUGGACAAUGGGCGAAAGCCUGAUCCAGCCAUGCCGCGUGUGUGAAGAAGGUCUUCGGAUUGUAAAGCACUUUAAGUUGGGAGGAAGGGCAGUAAGUUAAUACCUUGCUGUUUUGACGUUACCAACAGAAUAAGCACCGGCUAACUACGUG